Molecule: non-coding RNA, 160 nt
Organism: Arabidopsis thaliana (thale cress)
Lineage: Eukaryota; Viridiplantae; Streptophyta; Magnoliopsida; Brassicales; Brassicaceae
Source: RefSeq
UUGAUUCUCUUAUCCAACUGUAAAUCCGAAACCCUAAUAUUCCUUGUACCACAUUCCUAAUCAACUAGGCUUGAGCCCGAAAAACAAAAACAAAAAAAACAGUAGGAAUGUGGUUCAAGGAAAAUUAGUGUUUGGAUUUAUAGUUGGAUAAGAGAAUCAA